Molecule: long non-coding RNA, 1010 nt
Organism: Cyprinus carpio carpio
Lineage: Eukaryota; Metazoa; Chordata; Actinopteri; Cypriniformes; Cyprinidae
Source: Ensembl
AUUUAAUUUGACAAUUUAUAGGCAAUUUAUGCUGAAAUUUAUUCAGCUCGUCUUCCUUGAAUGAAGCCCAAUGGCUUUAUAGUGUCAAACCAUAAUAUGCAAUUGUAAUAACAGCCAGAUCCUUGCAUUACUGAAAUGCUGUGUUUUUCUGAAGGGCCCCACUGUCGCUCUGCGGCCCCUAAAUAUUUGGACAUGCCAUUUGAUUUACUGGAGCUGUUUUCACAGUCAGAGUCUCUCUCUUUUUUUCCAGUGACCUUCAGCUUCAGUGUAGCUCUUGCUGUUUUCUGUCCUCAAAGCCAAACAAUCAGCUCGACUCAGGAGCGUCUGAACGCAGAGGAGAGUGAGGGGAUGUGCCCCGCACUUGAACUCGGGAAGGAUUUUUUUUUCGAUUGUGAAGCCCGUGGCACCUGUACCAACCGCAGGACCAUCUGCUUGGCAUUCAGCGUCCAAUAACACAUUUCUGGGAUAAACUCCCUCACACACACACACACACACACACACACACUCAGGCAGAGGUUGGUGGGAGGUGGAGAGGCUGCGGGCCGACCGCUGGUGAAGAAUGACAGAGGUCUGUUAGACACAUUGUUUUAAUUGCAAUGUGAAGAUGCCCCAGCUGGGCUCUGGGAGGAGCGGGACGGUUAUCUGGGGAGGUCGGGAUGGGAAUUUUAGGGGGGAAUUCUGUCCAGAGGAAUGUGCUGUAACCUGAUCUGUAAAUGAAGAGAAUCAAAGAGUAUUAAGAGCGUUUUGCUGGCCCUCACUGCCCCGCGGCCGAGGCCACAGGUGUUUGGCAAAUACUGUGUUUUGUGAAGGAAAAGCUGCAGGCUGUGUUUAUGUCAUCAUUCCUGCCUGCGACUCACUCUCUCCCCUGCAAACUGGAAAACUGUAGGAAUUCAAUGAAAUACACUUGCUGUUCCUUCAAACUCCCUUUCCUCACAUUUUCUUGCAUUUUUCUGUACUUGACUUUUGGGACAGAAUGUCCUUUCUUCAGAACAGCUCUCUCUCUUUCAUCU